UCCACGCCCUAAACGAUGAACACUAGUCGUCGGGAUGCUAGUCAUCUCGGUGAUGCACUUAACAGAUUAAGUGUUCCGCCUGGGGAGUACGGUCGCAAGAUUAAAACUCAAAUGAAUUGACGGGGGCCCGCACAAGCGGUGGAGCAUGUGGUUUAAUUCGAUGCAACGCGAAGAACCUUACCAUCCCUUGACAUCCACAGAAGAGACUAGAGAUAGACUUGUGCCUUUCGGG
RNAcentral lists this ribosomal RNA (232 nucleotides) under uncultured bacterium. RNAcentral describes it as "partial 16S ribosomal RNA". It matches the Rfam family "Bacterial small subunit ribosomal RNA", at positions 794 to 1025 of the family's 1533-position model. The record is from RNAcentral.